This 465-nucleotide ribosomal RNA is filed under the name uncultured bacterium. RNAcentral's name for it is "bacterial SSU rRNA". It matches the Rfam family "Bacterial small subunit ribosomal RNA", at positions 329 to 792 of the family's 1533-position model. The record is from RNAcentral.
GCCCAGACUCCUACGGGAGGCAGCAGUGAGGAAUAUUGGUCAAUGGGCGGGAGCCUGAACCAGCCAAGCCGCGUGAGGGAAGAAGGUACAGCGUAUCGUAAACCUCUUUUGUCAGGGAACAAAGGCGGGGACUAGUCCCCGGAUGAGGGUACCUGAAGAAAAAGCAUCGGCUAACUCCGUGCCAGCAGCCGCGGUAAUACGGAGGAUGCGAGCGUUAUCCGGAUUUAUUGGGUUUAAAGGGUGCGUAGGCGGAAUGCCAGGUCAGGGGUAAAAUCGCGGGGCUAACCCUCGCUCCGCCGUUGAAACUGGCUUGCUAGAGUGGGCGAGAAGUAUGCGGAAUGCGUGGUGUAGCGGUGAAAUGCAUAGAUAUCACGCAGAACUCCGAUUGCGAAGGCAGCAUACCGGCGCCCAACUGACGCUCAGGCACGAAAGCGUGGGUAUCGAACAGGAUUAGAUACCCCAGUA